CCUUACAUCUGUUUUCCUUCCUUCUCCUUGUCUCUAACUUUUAUGCUUUGGGAUUGUACCUCCCAUUAAGACGCUACCAUGAAACCUUUGUUUCUUGCUCUGUUCUCUAGGGAAUCCAGACAAAGACAAUUUCCCAGAAUCUUCUACUUCAGAAGGGUAAAGAGCAGUGCUGGGGAUUUAUGUAUUUAAUAAGCACGCCAAGUGAGUCUAUGAUCAGGAAACUAUGGCUGGCACUACCUUAAAGUAUCCUCAGGCCUCAGAUCUCGCAUCAACAGAAAAUGAGAUGCCGAAACUGUGCAGAAUUCAGAAGGGAAUCCAUCCCACAAACCCUUAAGAUGUGGCCAUGGAAGACAACAGACAAGGACGAUUAGCACAGAGAACAGCCCAGAGGCAGCGAGAAGCACUGACCAAAGGACACUGUCUGCUGCUGAAGCAAAGAGCACUUGCUGCUCUUGUCUCACAGAGAGGUAAUGUGUACUGUGAACCGAUGCUGAGAUGGAGUUUGGGGUGCAAGGCACUUAUUACGGAUAAGAGGAGACAGAAGCCAGACUGGGCUGAGGAAGAAGUCGAACUGUGAUGCAGGCCCAGUGAAGCUUCAACCAGCCUGCCAGGGAGUUUUUGAGUUUGAAGUUCAGUUGCAGCUCUGCUGGCUUCAACUGGGAUCAACUGGACUGGGAUCCAGGCCAUGAGUAGGAUUCAAGUCUGUUCCACAGUUCUCCUCAUUCUGGGACCAGUGGCUACUGUGACAUGCUCUUCUCAUGACAGAGGACAGGAUUACAAAAGACCAAUCCAAACCACACCCACAUUUAAAACCUCUGCUCAUGUCACAUCCACUAACAUUCCAUUGGCCAAUAUAAGUCUCACAGCCGAGUCCAAAGUCAAUGAGGAGGGGUAUAACUUCCCAGGCAUUUCUUCGUGAGGUGGAGUGGUAGGCCCGAGGCAAUCCUCUGAAGAAGGGAGCAGCUGUAAUCUGAGAUCAACAAAAUCUCACAGCAGCUGGGGGUCAGGUGCAAGGACGAGGUUAAGGGAAUCUGGGAGGGGCACCAACAGCAUCUAAUAAAUGGUUCAUGAAAGAUCAUCACAAAAUAAAAUAACCGUAUUUUCUUUACAUACCCAUAGCAAAUACUGCUGUUUCUUUCCUAAUAUCCAUUCUCCCCUGCUUCCUUUACAAAAAUGCAAAACCGAGAUAAUUUAGCUCAUCUAGAAUAAAAAUUACAUUUCUCAGACUCCCUUCUAACUAGGCAUGCCCAUAUAACUACGUUCUGGACACCAGAUGAAGGGAGACGGUUAUGUGGAAGCUUACAGGAAGCUGCCUUAAGAGACAGCUGGUGUCACCCUCUGCUCCUUCUUCUUUGUCCUUUUCUCCAUUCUGCCAGCUUGAAUACAUCUGUGAUGAAUGGAUCAGGAACAGAAAUCUAGCACUGUGAGGUGGCCUAGGGAAUGAAGGCCAGCAGAACCCCAAGUUAGAAAGGACCCUGGUUUGUGAGAUCACUGUGACCCACAGCCACCACACUUUCAACAUAGGGAGGUAUAAUCUUCUACCCAGGUCAAACUACUGUUAAUUAACUUUCACAGGGUGAAACUUAUUCACAGGUUAGUGUAAUCCUAAUCAAUCCAACAUCCAAGCCAGAUUGAAAAUGAAUUUGAGAACCUGCUGCCUACAUUCCACCAAAGCACCCUCCAGCAAGAUGGUGCCCAUUUAUACUCCAUUCAGCAGACAUUGGAGUGUUCAUUUCUCCAAACUGGUUAUUAUUGUUUUUGUGAUGGGUUAAUCUAAAAAGCAAAAAGCAAUCUUGUUGUUUCAAUUUUCCUUUUCCACAUUUCUGACCAGGUUGAACACAUUUUCAUCUUUUUUGGGGGCCAUUUGUAUUUCUUUCUUUGUGAAUUGCCUGUUUGUAUCAUUUGUCCAUUUUCUGUGGGGAUGUUUAUAUUUUUAUAGUGACUUAGAGGUGCUUAUUUAUUUGAAAUAUAUAUAUACACUGAUAAAAAUAAAGGCUAAUGUAAUAAAUACCUGGUACCAAUCACCCAAAUGAACAAAUGUUGAUAUUUUGUCAUAUUUGAAUCAAACCUUCUUUUAAAGAAAUAAAACAUUGUAGAUGAAAAUGUAUUCAUCAAGUUCACCAUCCCCGGUCUCAGAAACAACUAUCAUGUUUUUAAGCUUUUGCUGCAAUGUCCAUAGUACCAUUUCAGAUGUGUUUAUUUUAAUUUACAUUAAUGGUGUUGUGAUGGUUAAUUUGAUGUGUCAACUUCACUGGGUCACAGGGUGCCCAGAUAUUUGGUUAAAUAUUUCUAGGUGUGUCUAAAUAUUUCUAGGUGGAUGAGAUCAGCAUUCGAAUCGGUAGACUAAGUAAAGCAAAUUUCCCCCCCAAAUGUGGUUGGGCAUCAUCUAAUCUGUGGGCCUGAAUAGAACAAAAAGGUGGAGGAAGAGAGAAUUCACUCUCUGCCUGACUGCCAUGAGCUAGGACAUAAGUCUUCUCCUGCUCUUGAACUGGAAUUUUUAUACCAUCAGCACUCCUGGUUCUCAGGCCUUCUGACUCAGCCUGGAACUAUACAACUCUCUUUCCUGGUCUCCAGUUUGCAGAUAGCAAAUUGUUGGACCUCUCUGCCUACAUAAUUGUGUGAGCAACUUAAUUCCUUAUAAUUCAUAUAUUUAUAUAACUGGUAUGGUUUCUCUGGAGAAGCCUGAUUAAUACAGGUGUCAUACUGCAAAUUUUUUUUUAGCUCCUUGAACUCUGUGUUUAUGAGAUUUAUCCAUAUUCAUUUAAUUGUUGUAUAAUAUAAUAUUGAAUGAAUAUUUCAAAUUUGAUUCAUAUUUCACAUUUGAUCCCCUAUUGAUAGAUGUUAAAUCCCUUCUCCCAAAUUUUACUAUUACAAACAAUGUGACAUAAAUAUCUUUGGACUUACUUCACGUGUUCCCAUACGAAAGAAUUUCUUUAGAAGUGACAUUGCUGGAUUAUAGGGACAUAGAAGCAUCUUCUACUUUGCUAGAUUUUACUAAAUUGCUGUCCAAAGUGGUUACAUCAAUUUCUAUUCCCAUCAGAAGUGUGUGAGAAUUCCCGUUUUUCCAUAUUCUGGCAACCCUAAAUAAUGUCAAGCUUUUAAAGAUUUGUUUCCAAAUUAAUAGGUAUGAUGGUAUCUCAUUAUUUUAAUUUUAUUUUCUCUAAUAAUGAUGUCAAGCAUAUUUACGUAUGUUUAUUGAGUUUAUUCAUCUUUGAGUUGCCAAUUCUAAUUCUUUGUGCGUUUUUAUAUUGGGUCAUUUGUCAUUUUUAUUGCUUUUUAGGAUUCUUUGAUACAUUCUAGCAGUAAUAGUCAUUGCAAAUAUCUUCUCCCAGUGUGUGGCUUGCCUUUGUAAAAAACAGUUUUAUUGAGAAAUAAUUUACAUACCAUAAAAUUCACCCACUUAAAGCGUACAACUCUUUGGGUUUUAGUUCCAAUCAGAGUUGUGAAACCAUCACGACAAUCUAAUUAUAGAGCACGUUCAUCAUCCACAGAAGAAAUCCUCAGCUUAUUAGCAGUCACUCUGGAUCCCCGUCUCCUCCAAGGCCCUGGCAACUACUAUCUACUUUCUGUCCAUAUAGAGUUGCUUAUUUUGAACUUUUCAUAAAAAUGGAAUCACACAAUAUGUAGUCUUCUGCCACUGGCUCCUUUCACUUGGCACAAUGCUUUCAAGUUCCAUCCAGGUUACUGCAGGGAUGGUUAACUUGGUUAUACUAUGUGUUGCUGUACGUAUGUUUUGAAUUUUCAUUUAGUCAAAUAGGUCAAUCUUUUUUUUUUAGGUUUCUGAUUUUUCUGUCUUAUUUAAAAAAUCUUUCCCUGAGUUAUAUAUUUUCUAAUAAUUUCAAGUUUUUGUUUUUCAUAUUUAAAUUCUCUGCAGCUUAUUUUGUAUAUCACAUCACAUAGAGAUUUAAUUCUUUUCCAUGUGGGUAGUCAAUCAUUCAGCACUACUUAUUGAAUAGUGCCCCAAUUCCCCCACUGUUUUGUAAUGGCUUGUUUAUUAUACAACAAAGUCUCAUAUAUGUUUAGAUCUGUUUACCUCUCCCUGUGCCAUUAUGAUAGCUUUACAGUAAAUCUUAAUGACUAAUACCUUUAUAAUAAAUCCUGCUAUUUGGUAGGGUGAGUUCCCUCUCUUUCUUUUCUACAGACAACUUUGCUGUUAAUGACCCU
This is a long non-coding RNA of Equus caballus (horse), 4164 nucleotides long. The record is from Ensembl. NCBI's taxonomy places the organism in Eukaryota, Metazoa, Chordata, Mammalia, Perissodactyla, Equidae.